Long non-coding RNA from Xiphophorus hellerii (green swordtail), 1572 nucleotides. RefSeq lists it as uncharacterized. The record is from RefSeq and is a predicted model, not a curated record. The transcript is spliced from 4 exons. NCBI's taxonomy places the organism in Eukaryota, Metazoa, Chordata, Actinopteri, Cyprinodontiformes, Poeciliidae.
CACAGUUUAAAUUUUCAGUGUUAAAAAAUUCAGCAUAUAAAAAAUUCAACUUUUCAAAAUUCGAAUGCAAUAUUUUCAUUGUCCUCCAAUUCAACUUGCUCAAAUUCGCUGUCUCAAAUUCAACGUCUAAAAAUUCGCUGCAAAAAUGGCGAGGUUACUUCAGGUCACAGACAUUAGCAAUGGAUGUCAGAUUCCAGGACCCAGCUGAUCACGUGACACAACCGUCAUAUUGAAGAAAUACCAGCAUCGCCGAGGCUGGCGACCAUGGAGGCGAAUGAAAACCCAACGGUGAGUUUAAUGCUUUCAUAUUUCUGUAUUAUAUUUUAUUUUGCGCAUGAAGUUUGAUACAUUAUCUUAAAUCUUGAUUUAAAACACGGGUUGGGCCGUUGUUAAUCUUACACCAUGUAGUGCUAGCAUAUUACGUCUUGCUACCUCCUAGCCCCCCCAGCCCCUCACCCAAUUUACCCCGUUUUAUUUCAAAAAGAAAUACCACUUGCGCCAAGUCUAGAAUCUUGAAAGAGAACUGAUGGGUGGCGACUUUCUGGGUUGUUUGAUGUUGUCUUAGGUGAGACUGAGACAGGCAGUCUUAGUAAAGUGUAAUUUUUCAGGAGAUGCUACCGCUAAUGUACUAAGCUAAUAUGGCUGCCUUGUAUGCUUCAAGGAGGGGCUGUGAACACUACCGACAUUAAUUAUAACCACAACCCCAUUCUGUUCAGCUACUGUAUUGUUCAGGUGACUUCAUUUAUGAAUUAAUUAAGAAAUUUAUUGUCAUUACAACAUCAUCCAAAAUACUGCUUCUCUUAUCUGACAAGUGUUGAUAUACAAUAUUAAUUUACAUUAUUUUCUUUCUUGCUUUUUUUUCCCUCUGAGUCAUUUGUGAUGUCUUUUGCAGCUCGAAGGAGAAUCCAGGCUCUCUGAUACUUAAAUGGAAAGAGUACAGAGCUUGGCAUAUUCAUGGGACCUUCUUUGCCCCACAGAGAACAAUAGGAAGUGGCUUUUUGAGAAGCUGUUACUUCAUGCAGUUCUUGGACGUGUCGCAAGACAAAUAAAGCAGCUUAGACGAGGCUUGAAAGAAAUCCCAAUAUGGUCACUGGUAACUCGGCGGCCUGAUGCUGUACCGCUGCUUUUUCCACUGGAGGAAGCCUCCCUGUGUCCAGAGUUUUUUCUACUAAACUUAGGUGGUACUUCAGCAUAUCACUUGGCCAGAAACAGAUGACGGAAGUGAUGAAGAUGACGACUGCUCAAAGGAAACCAGAUGCCGCAUUUCAGGAUAUCUGAAACAGUUAAUUGCAAAUGCCACACCACCUGAACUGAAAGACAUGAUGAAAUUCUGGACCGGAUGGGAAAAUCUGCCAUCAAGUCUGUCUGUGGAGAUAGUUCAUGGAAACUACCCAACAGCUGCCACUUGCUAUGAAACGCUAAGAAUUCCUUGUCACUACAGGAGUUACAAAUCUUUCAGUGAUGAGUUUUUAGCUUGCAUUUCCUCUACGCAAACUGGCUUUGGCUUGCUUUGAAUGAUCGACCUGUAAAAAAAAAAAAAAUCUACAUUUAAGCUGUAGCAGUUCUGUUUGU